AUGAACGCUGGCGGCGUGCCUAAUCCAUGCAAGUCGAGCGAACGGACGAGAAGCUUGCUUCUCUGAUGUUAGCGGCGGACGGGUGAGUAACACGUGGAUAACCUACCUAUAAGACUGGGAUAACUUCGGGAAACCGUAGCUAAUACCGGAUAAUAUUUUGAACCGCAUGGUUCAAAAGUGAAAGGCGGUCUUGCUGUCACUUAUAGAUGGAUCCGCGCUGCAUUAGCUAGUUGGUAAGGUAACGGCUUACCAAGGCAACGAUGCAUAGCCGACCUGAGAGGGUGAUCGGCCACACUGGAACUGAGACACGGUCCAGACUCCUACGGGAGGCAGCAGUAGGGAAUCUUCCGCAAUGGGCGAAAGCCUGACGGAGCAACGCCGCGUGAGUGAUGAAGGUCUUCGGAUCGUAAAACUCUGUUAUUAGGGAAGAACAUAUGUGUAAGUAACUGUGCACAUCUUGACGGUACCUAAUCAGAAAGCCACUGCUAACUACGUG
This 496-nucleotide ribosomal RNA is filed under the name uncultured bacterium. RNAcentral describes it as "partial 16S ribosomal RNA". It matches the Rfam family "Bacterial small subunit ribosomal RNA", at positions 29 to 507 of the family's 1533-position model. The record is from RNAcentral.